AUUCAAAUUAGUAAAUUAGUUUGAAAAUCCCAAAAUACCCUAACAACUACACGAAAUCCGUGAUCUUCCUCACAGCUCUCUCAAACACCGUAACAGCAGCCACUUCCUUCACACUGCGGCUGUGCUUCUCUCUCGCCGCCGGUCAGAUCUCUGCACCGAUCUGCUCUCUUGUAGUUUUUUUUUUGUGCCUCUCUCAUUAUCUUGAUUAAUUGAUUAUUUGAUUAUUGAAUAUUGAUGACUUGAUCUGUUAAGAAUAUGGAUUUUAAAUUGCUUUGUUCAUCUAUCUAUCUAUUUUAUUAGAUUAGUCCCUGUCGCCGCCGCUCACUGUCCGACACCGGCCCUGUUGCCGCCGCAUACUCCUUCCCUCGUCGGUGGCUGAGUUGCUUGCUGCUGACCUGCUGCUCACU
RNAcentral lists this long non-coding RNA (407 nucleotides) under Arachis ipaensis. RNAcentral's name for it is "long non-coding RNA (AIPA_LNC000020)". The record is from RNAcentral. Lineage: Eukaryota; Viridiplantae; Streptophyta; Magnoliopsida; Fabales; Fabaceae.